GACGAUCGCUGGCGGCGUGCUUAACACAUGCAAGUCGAACGGAAAGGCCCUGCUUUUGUGGGGUGCUCGAGUGGCGAGCGGGUGAGUAACACGUGAGUAACCUGCCCUUGACUUUGGGAUAACUUCAGGAAACUGGGGCUAAUACCGGAUAGGAGCUCCUGCUGCAUGGUGGGGGUUGGAAAGUUUCGGCGGUUGGGGAUGGACUCGCGGCUUAUCAGCUUGUUGGUGGGGUAGUGGCUUACCAAGGCUUUGACGGGUAGCCGGCCUGAGAGGGUGACCGGCCACAUUGGGACUGAGAUACGGCCCAGACUCCUACGGGAGGCAGCAGUGGGGAAUAUUGCACAAUGGGCGGAAGCCUGAUGCAGCAACGCCGCGUGCGGGAUGACGGCCUUCGGGUUGUAAACCGCUUUCGCCUGUGACGAAGCGUGAGUGACGGUAAUGGGUAAAGAAGCACCGGCUAACUACGUG
Molecule: ribosomal RNA, 468 nt
Filed under: uncultured bacterium
Lineage: Bacteria
Description: partial 16S ribosomal RNA
Rfam family: Bacterial small subunit ribosomal RNA
Source: RNAcentral